RNAcentral lists this ribosomal RNA (515 nucleotides) under Alternaria alternata. RNAcentral's name for it is "eukaryotic LSU rRNA". The stretch from base 147 to 300 matches the Rfam family "5.8S ribosomal RNA". The record is from RNAcentral. Lineage: Eukaryota; Fungi; Ascomycota; Dothideomycetes; Pleosporales; Pleosporaceae.
CUGGACCUCUCGGGGUUACAGCCUUGCUGAAUUAUUCACCCUUGUCUUUUGCGUACUUCUUGUUUCCUUGGUGGGUUCGCCCACCACUAGGACAAACAUAAACCUUUUGUAAUUGCAAUCAGCGUCAGUAACAAAUUAAUAAUUACAACUUUCAACAACGGAUCUCUUGGUUCUGGCAUCGAUGAAGAACGCAGCGAAAUGCGAUAAGUAGUGUGAAUUGCAGAAUUCAGUGAAUCAUCGAAUCUUUGAACGCACAUUGCGCCCUUUGGUAUUCCAAAGGGCAUGCCUGUUCGAGCGUCAUUUGUACCCUCAAGCUUUGCUUGGUGUUGGGCGUCUUGUCUCUAGCUUUGCUGGAGACUCGCCUUAAAGUAAUUGGCAGCCGGCCUACUGGUUUCGGAGCGCAGCACAAGUCGCACUCUCUAUCAGCAAAGGUCUAGCAUCCAUUAAGCCUUUUUUUCAACUUUUGACCUCGGAUCAGGUAGGGAUACCCGCUGAACUUAAGCAUAUCAAUAAGC